GAUGAACGCUGGCGGCGUGCCUAAUACAUGCAAGUCGAGCGAACGGAUGAGAGGCUUGCUUCUCUGAUGUUAUCGGCGGACGGGUGAGUAACACGUGGAUAACCUACCUAUAAGACUGGGAUAACUUCGGGAAACCGGAGCUAAUACCGGAUUAUAUUUUGAACCGCAUGGUUCAAAAGUGAAAUACGGUCUUGCUGUCACUUAUAGAUGGAUCCGCGCUGCAUUAGCUAGUUGGUAAGGUAACGGCUUACCAAGGGAACAAUGCAUAGCCGACCUGAGAGGUAGAUCGGCGACCCUGGAAAUGAGUAACGGUCCAGACUCCUACGGGAGGCAGCAGUAGGGAAUCUUCCGCAAUGGGCGAAAGCCUGACAGAGCAACACCGCGUGAGUGAUGAAGGACUUCGGAUCGUAAAACUCUGUUAUUAGGGAAGAACAAAUGUGUAAGUAACUGUGCACAUAUUGACGGUACCUAAUCAGAAAGCCACGGCUAACUAAGUG
RNAcentral lists this ribosomal RNA (497 nucleotides) under uncultured bacterium. RNAcentral's name for it is "partial 16S ribosomal RNA". It matches the Rfam family "Bacterial small subunit ribosomal RNA", at positions 28 to 507 of the family's 1533-position model. The record is from RNAcentral.